UACGUAGGGUGCAAGCGUUAAUCGGAAUUACUGGGCGUAAAGCGUGCGCAGGCGGUUGUGCAAGACAGAUGUGAAAGCCCCGGGCUCAACCUGGGAAUUGCGAUGGAGACUGCAAGGCUUGAAUCUGGCAGAGGGGGGUAGAAUUCCACGUGUAGCAGUGAAAUGCGUAGAGAUGUGGAGGAACACCGAUGGCGAAGGCAGCCCCCUGGGUCAAGAUUGACGCUCAUGCACGAAAGCGUGGGGAGCAAACAGG
RNAcentral lists this ribosomal RNA (253 nucleotides) under uncultured bacterium. RNAcentral describes it as "partial 16S ribosomal RNA". It matches the Rfam family "Bacterial small subunit ribosomal RNA", at positions 524 to 776 of the family's 1533-position model. The record is from RNAcentral.